CCAUGCCGCGUGGAUGAUGAAGGCCCUAGGGUUGUAAAGUCCUUUCGGCGGGGAAGAUAAUGACGGUACCCGCAGAAGAAGCCCCGGCUAACUUCGUGC
RNAcentral lists this ribosomal RNA (99 nucleotides) under uncultured bacterium. Its description in RNAcentral is "partial 16S ribosomal RNA". It matches the Rfam family "Bacterial small subunit ribosomal RNA", at positions 392 to 508 of the family's 1533-position model. The record is from RNAcentral.